This is a non-coding RNA of Cinara cedri, 378 nucleotides long. Lineage: Eukaryota; Metazoa; Arthropoda; Insecta; Hemiptera; Aphididae. The record is from the annotation of a GenBank genome assembly.
AAAUAUUAAAAGCGCUCCACGGAAAACACAAUGCGCAAUAAAGUACGAAUACUUUUCAAAUUUCGACGACACUAUACUACGAUUGCUUUGUGUUUGUUUGUUUUAUUUUUUUUUCAUUAAUCCAACCACAGACCAAUAAUAAUCAUGUAUCGAGUUUGGGGUUGGAUGUCGGGACACCGAGAAAUCUUCCAGUAAGCCAUCUAAAAUAUGAACUUAUUACAUUGGCAUGCGCACGGGGUAUGCAGGGUAUGAGCUUGCAUAAAACACCAUAAUUUCAAUAAGUAUCCCAAAUGCUUUGGGAGAGAUAGCAUUAAAAAAGACUGCGACCACGUCAUACUUACACGAUUUAGACGUGUUCCAUCCAUUAUGUAUUGUCUU